RNAcentral lists this ribosomal RNA (493 nucleotides) under uncultured bacterium. RNAcentral's name for it is "bacterial SSU rRNA". It matches the Rfam family "Bacterial small subunit ribosomal RNA", at positions 38 to 507 of the family's 1533-position model. The record is from RNAcentral.
GGCGGCGUGCCUAACACAUGCAAGUCGUACGAGAAAGUUGGCUUCGGCCGAUGAGUAAAGUGGCGCACGGGUGAGUAAUGCGUGGAUAAUCUGCCCUUUAGUUGGGAAUAACGUACCGAAAGGUGCGCUAAUACCGCAUAAUGCCUGGCAACACAAGUUGUCCGGCCAAAGAAGGCCUCUGUUUACAAGCUUUCGCUUCAGGAUGAGUCCGCGUACCAUUAGCUUGUUGGUGGGGUAAUGGCCUACCAAGGCUGCGAUGGUUAGCUGGUCUGAGAGGAUGAUCAGCCACACUGGAACUGAGACACGGUCCAGACUCCUACGGGAGGCAGCAGUGAGGAAUAUUGCGCAAUGGGGGCAACCCUGACGCAGCAACGCCGCGUGAGUGAGGAAGGUUUUCGGACCGUAAAGCUCUGUCGAGUGGGAAGAAGUGUAUCAUGGCUAAUAUCCGUGAUAUUUGACGGUACCGCUAGAGGAAGCACCGGCUAACUCCGUG